UUUCAGUAAAAAUAUCCCAGCCCUUCCAGAAAAGAGGCAGGAAAUCUACUGCUGAAAUCUGGAGAUGGGCAGCAUAGCCAAGCAUGAGUGAAGAUCUGAGCACAGGGACGUGGUUUAGUGUGGACUCAGCAGUGAAGCUCUACCUUAAAGCUCUUCUCUCCUCUCUGGACUUUACCUAUUAUCCAAGCUGGGGUUUUUCAUGCAGAAUGAUCAGGAACUCUUUACACAUGGAAGAAGCAGGAACACUUUGGUGCUUUAUGAGUGCCUGUUGCCUGUUAAGGACCCAGCUCGUGCAGCAGAAUAGAGUAUGAACUGUGAUUUCUUGGAGCUAACACAGCAAAAAUUUCAGGCUCAA
Molecule: long non-coding RNA, 355 nt
Organism: Corvus hawaiiensis (hawaiian crow)
Lineage: Eukaryota; Metazoa; Chordata; Aves; Passeriformes; Corvidae
Exons: 3
Source: RefSeq, a predicted model, not a curated record